UACGGGGGGGGCAAGCGUUGUUCGGAUUCACUGGGCGUAAAGGGUGCGUAGGCGGUCGGGUAAGUCUGAUGUGAAAUCUCCAAGCUUAACUUGGAAAUGGCAUCGGAUACUAUUCGGCUCGAGGAAUGGAGGGGAGACUGGAAUACUUGGUGUAGCAGUGAAAUGCGUAGAUAUCAAGUGGAACACCAGUGGCGAAGGCGAGUCUCUGGACAUUUCCUGACGCUGAGGCACGAAAGCCAGGGGAGCAAACGGG
RNAcentral lists this ribosomal RNA (253 nucleotides) under uncultured bacterium. RNAcentral's name for it is "partial 16S ribosomal RNA". It matches the Rfam family "Bacterial small subunit ribosomal RNA", at positions 524 to 776 of the family's 1533-position model. The record is from RNAcentral.